RNAcentral lists this long non-coding RNA (798 nucleotides) under Astyanax mexicanus (Mexican tetra). RNAcentral describes it as "lncRNA (ENSAMXG00005006831.1)". The record is from RNAcentral. Lineage: Eukaryota; Metazoa; Chordata; Actinopteri; Characiformes; Acestrorhamphidae.
UAAUGAAAAAACAUUUAGCUCACAAUUGUAUCCUAACUGACAUACCAGGUAAUUUUUGUUACAGAGGAGGACCAGUGUAAUAUGGAGUCUUGGAGUCUUGCCCAAGGACUCUUAUUGGUGUAGUAGAAUUCAGUCACCCAGACCAGGAACUAAACCCUAGUCUCUCACAUCAUGUGGCUGCUCACUGGUAGGUAGUGGUGUUAUCCACUGCACCACACUAUUCACCAAGAACUGCUUUGUACCUUGUUUAAAUAAUUUUGAAUGAAUAGGCCAGUAGAAAUGCUCUAAAAUACUCUGAAUAAACAUCCUUUUUUUACAAUAACUUCCAAAAAUAGUUAAGCACAAUAUGCCAUUUUCUGUAAAGUCACCAAUUUUGGAGAUGUUUUUUGUUUUUUUUUAUUGGACAGCGACCAAUGAAAUGCACUGUGAGAUCUGAAGUCAAGUUUCUUGUGGAUUUGCAGCCAGAGAUUAUGCAGUAGAGACCAGAAGAGGAGGAGCCAGACCCACCUUCUUAUUUGGAAGACCUGCCCCUCUCUCCCAGACCAGGCGUCUCAGACUUCCUUUAUUGAGUUUUCAAGCACAGUAAAAAGCAGAGUGGGUUUCUUCACUAACAACUCAGUUUGUCAGGUCAAAGUUGUUGCAAUACAUGCAGCUCACAGCAAACAGCACAAAGGAACAUGGGGGAAAAAAACAUUUUCGUCAGCAUCUGCGGCAACAUCUCAGGCCUUCUCCGGUCAGCUAAUAAUGGUCACUCAAUCAGGUCACAAGACACAGACAUGUUCUUCACCACAGAUCUUC